RNAcentral lists this ribosomal RNA (448 nucleotides) under uncultured bacterium. RNAcentral describes it as "bacterial SSU rRNA". It matches the Rfam family "Bacterial small subunit ribosomal RNA", at positions 64 to 507 of the family's 1533-position model. The record is from RNAcentral.
GAACGGCAGCGCGGGAGCAAUCCUGGCGGCGAGUGGCGAACGGGUGAGUAAUAUAUCGGAACGUGCCCAUUAGUGGGGGAUAGCCCGGCGAAAGCCGGAUUAAUACCGCAUACGACCUGAGGGUGAAAGCGGGGGAUCGCAAGACCUCGCGCUAUUGGAGCGGCCGAUAUCAGAUUAGCUAGUUGGUGGGGUAAAAGCCUACCAAGGCAACGAUCUGUAGUUGGUCUGAGAGGACGACCAGCCACACUGGGACUGAGACACGGCCCAGACUCCUACGGGAGGCAGCAGUGGGGAAUUUUGGACAAUGGGCGCAAGCCUGAUCCAGCAAUGCCGCGUGCAGGAAGAAGGCCUUCGGGUUGUAAACUGCUUUUGUCAGGGAAGAAAUCCUUUGGGUUAAUACCUCGAAGGGAUGACGGUACCUGAAGAAUAAGCACCGGCUAACUACGUG